RNAcentral lists this small nucleolar RNA (143 nucleotides) under Nannospalax galili (Upper Galilee mountains blind mole rat). RNAcentral's name for it is "Small nucleolar RNA SNORA48 (ENSNGAG00000006921.1)". It matches the Rfam family "Small nucleolar RNA SNORA48". From Rfam's summary of the family: The snoRNA ACA 48 has been identified to guide pseudouridylation of the residue U3797 in the 28S rRNA subunit. The record is from Rfam by way of RNAcentral. Lineage: Eukaryota; Metazoa; Chordata; Mammalia; Rodentia; Spalacidae.
ACCCCCUGGCAGUGGGCAAAGAUGCACCCCACUGCUGGUGGUGUUCUUAUAUCAGUCAUGGGUAGAGCAGAUGGUAUCCUUUGUUCAUCCUAGCUUGAUGCCUGACUUGGUAGCCAAAGCUGUUUCAUGCCUAGGGCACAUUA